GACGAACGCUGGCGGCGUGCCUAAUACAUGCAAGUAGAACGCUGGAGCGAGGAGCUUGCUCUUCUUGGAUGAGUUGCGAACGGGUGAGUAACGCGUAGGUAACCUGCCUUGUAGCGGGGGAUAACUAUUGGAAACGAUAGCUAAUACCGCAUAACAAUGGAUGACACAUGUCAUUUAUUUGAAAGGGGCAAUUGCUCCACUACAAGAUGGACCUGCGUUGUAUUAGCUAGUAGGUGAGGUAAUGGCUCACCUAGGCGACGAUACAUAGCCGACCUGAGAGGGUGAUCGGCCACACUGGGACUGAGACACGGCCCAGACUCCUACGGGAGGCAGCAGUAGGGAAUCUUCGGCAAUGGGGGCAACCCUGACCGAGCAACGCCGCGUGAGUGAAGAAGGUUUUCGGAUCGUAAAGCUCUGUUGUAAGUCAAGAACGGGUGUGAGAGUGGAAAGUUCACACUGUGACGGUAGCUUACCAGAAAGGGACGGCUAACUACGUG
This 497-nucleotide ribosomal RNA is filed under the name uncultured bacterium. RNAcentral's name for it is "partial 16S ribosomal RNA". It matches the Rfam family "Bacterial small subunit ribosomal RNA", at positions 28 to 507 of the family's 1533-position model. The record is from RNAcentral.